RNAcentral lists this unclassified non-coding RNA (1599 nucleotides) under Bombus terrestris (buff-tailed bumblebee). RNAcentral describes it as "misc RNA ENSBTSG00005029712.1". The record is from RNAcentral. Lineage: Eukaryota; Metazoa; Arthropoda; Insecta; Hymenoptera; Apidae.
CUGUGAAGCGACACCGCUGAAAACCACUCCUGAUCAUUCGCGCGUACUACAUUAUUUUUACCUUCGCAACUAGAGCGGCGAAACACGCAGGCGUUAUCAAACACGGCUUUGUCUAACUUUAAUUGAAAAUAUUGGAAUAAAUCUUCCAAUAGACAUUGUCGAGCGAACCAGUGGCUGUACAGGCACAGUGCGCCAAGAGAUAGGGGUGAGACCGAGGCUACGGGGGGGUUGGAGGGUUGAAAACAGGGCGACAGAGCAAGGAUGGGACGCGGGGCGGACGAAAGCGGGGUUGGAACGAGUAACUGGAUGGCCGAUGAGUGGAACAGGGACACGAACGUCAACGAGCGGGCCAGAAGAGGCAGCCGAUCGUCGACUGCUGGCGACAACGCCGCCGCUUUGGAAUUUGGAGCGUGGCAGAGCUACAUAGGUAGGCACGAGCAACGACGAUUAUCGGAGUCGAUCAUUCAAUUUUGCGCUGCAAAUUGUCCGCGCCGGAAACUCAUAUCCGGGCACUUCCGGUUCUCCCUGGUUCCGCCCCCGGGAAGAGGAAUCUGGCGAAAGGGCGGCCUCGCUGAAUGGCCCGGUUCAAGAGCGAGCUAGGGACCUGAACAACGUUGACAGACUGAAAGAGACAGAGAGAGAGAGAGAGAGAGAGAGAGAAAUGGGACGGAGAGAGAGCUCUCUCUCCUGGAGAGAAAGAGAGAAGUAGAGGAAAAGGAAAGGGUGGGAAAGAGAGAAAGAGAAGCCAGGGACAGACAGGAGAGAAUUGAGGAACGGAGAGGUCGCAGGUUGGAUAGACAGCAACAAGCACUAUUUCGAUUGAUUGCUCGUCGUCCUACUAGGGCUGUUCGCGUCAUUACCGAUCUUGCUGAGAAUGGAGCCUCACCUGUGCACUAUCCUGAUCCUCCAUUCUAUUGUUGCUGUUAUAAUCCUUUGUCGAAUGUUAUUCGUUCCUUCUCUAUGUGGAGGUGUUUACAUUCGAUAGACUACCAUGUAGAAAUUCCGUUUUGUUCUAUCAAUAGUCGCAUAUUCGAUGCUUUUAUCGUUAUUGUAUUUGUUUAUCGAAUGUUGCUAGCUUGUACACAUCCAUGUACUUGCUAUACGUAGGUAUUUAUAUUUGACAAAAUAAUCUGUGCACAAUUGUGUUAUCGUCAAGCAGGCGAUGUUCUAUGUAAAAUUACGUGACAGAAAGUUACAACGAAUUCAUCGUUCAUUGUUUUCCUUGAUUUUCGUGGUUUUCCUAACAUCGAGCGUGUCUAAUUCCGAUUCGUGCUUUUUCUAAUUCGAACGAAGGCAGGUUUCCGAAUUCUCGUUCCCCAGAGUACUGAUAAAAUUUGAUUAUUAAACUGGAAGCGCAUCUAAUCCACGCAUUACUAUUCAUCGCCACACCGCCGUCAAACUGACGAAUCUAGCGAAAUUAUUCUCGUCAAUCUGUACUCUAUUGGGAGCCGAAUUGGCGUGUGCACUGCUUUGCGGUCUCUUUGAUCCAUUCUCUUGCCUCUUUUCUUCUCGGUUCUUUUUCCGUGCAAUUUCAUCACGCAAAGCGACGGAAACCAGGAAAUAGCUAGCACGUUUACCUUUUUGCCCCAGGUCGUGAAU